Molecule: ribosomal RNA, 253 nt
Filed under: uncultured bacterium
Lineage: Bacteria
Description: partial 16S ribosomal RNA
Rfam family: Bacterial small subunit ribosomal RNA
Source: RNAcentral
UACGUAGGGGGCUAGCGUUGUCCGGAUUUAUUGGGCGUAAAGAGCGUGUAGGCGGCCGAGUAAGUCCGGUGUGAAAACUCGAGGCUCAACCUCGAGAUGUCGAUGGAAACCGUCUGGCUAGAGUCCGGAAGAGGAGUGUGGAAUUCCUGGUGUAGCGGUGAAAUGCGCAGAUAUCAGGAAGAACACCUAUGGCGAAGGCAGCACUCUGGGACGGUACUGACGCUGAGACGCGAAAGCGUGGGGAGCGAACAGG